Long non-coding RNA from Ipomoea triloba (trilobed morning glory), 258 nucleotides. RefSeq lists it as uncharacterized. The transcript is spliced from 3 exons. NCBI's taxonomy places the organism in Eukaryota, Viridiplantae, Streptophyta, Magnoliopsida, Solanales, Convolvulaceae. The record is from RefSeq and is a predicted model, not a curated record.
AGAAGAAAGGGAAAAGAAGAGGCAUUUCAUCUUAAUCUGCUCUUGACUUGCGUAGAAGGAGGAAAACAGAGAGGUUGUAGUUUCAGUGCUCAAGAAUACAAGGUGACCGUGAAGGUUAGUGCGUAAAGGGAUUUCUAUGCUUAAAAGCUUACUAAGGUUGUUGAUCGAGGUUAAGACAAGGGAGGUCACUUUUUUUGGGAUUAAAGGCUCUAGGAUAUUAGUCUAGUGCCUUGUGUUAGAUGGGGACUCCUUCUAAUC